CAGUAGCCGCGGGAAUACAGAGGGUGCGAGCUUUAAUCGGAUUUACUGGGCGUAAAGCGUGCGUAGGCGGCUUCUUGAGUCGGAUGUGAAAUCCCUGAGCUUAACUUAGGAAUUGCAUUCGAUACUGGGAAGCUAGAGUAUGGGAGAGGAUGGUAGAAUUCCAGGUGUAGCGGUGAAAUGCGUAGAGAUCUGGAGGAAUACCGAUGGCGAAGGCAGCCAUCUGGCCUAAUACUGACGCUGAGGUACGAAAGCAUGGGGAGCAAACAGGAUUAGAUACCCCUGUAGUCCCUGUCUCUUAUAA
RNAcentral lists this ribosomal RNA (301 nucleotides) under uncultured bacterium. Its description in RNAcentral is "partial 16S ribosomal RNA". It matches the Rfam family "Bacterial small subunit ribosomal RNA", at positions 509 to 809 of the family's 1533-position model. The record is from RNAcentral.